Molecule: ribosomal RNA, 492 nt
Filed under: uncultured bacterium
Lineage: Bacteria
Description: partial 16S ribosomal RNA
Rfam family: Bacterial small subunit ribosomal RNA
Source: RNAcentral
AGUGAACGCUGGCGGUAGGCCUAACACAUGCAAGUCGAACGGCAGCACAGUAAGAGCUUGCUCUUACGGGUGGCGAGUGGCGGACGGGUGAGGAAUACAUCGGAAUCUACUUUUUCGUGGGGGAUAACGUGGGGAAACUUACGCUAAUACCGCAUACGACCUACGGGUGAAAGCAGGGGAUCUUCGGACCUUGCGCGAUUGAAUGAGCCGAUAUCGGAUUAGCUAGUUGGCGGGGUAAAGGCCCACCAAGGCGACGAUCCGUAGCUGGUCUGAGAGGAUGAUCAGCCACACUGGAACUGAGACACGGUCCAGACUCCUACGGGAGGCAGCAGUGGGGAAUAUUGGACAAUGGGCGCAAGCCUGAUCCAGCCAUACCGCGUGGGUGAAGAAGGCCUUCGGGUUGUAAAGCCCUUUUGUUGGGAAAGAAAAGCAGCAGGUUAAUACCCCGCUGUUCUGACGGUACCCAAAGAAUAAGCACCGGCUAACUUCGUG